Fopius arisanus is the source of this 494-nucleotide long non-coding RNA. RefSeq lists it as uncharacterized. The record is from RefSeq and is a predicted model, not a curated record. NCBI's taxonomy places the organism in Eukaryota, Metazoa, Arthropoda, Insecta, Hymenoptera, Braconidae. The transcript is spliced from 3 exons.
UGUGCGAUAGACAUCUAAAGCAUGGAUUCGCAGUGCACAGCUGUCUAACUAAUUGGCUACUGAAUUACUAGACGACACGAAGCAAUGUUCAAACUGUAUCACCUACCCCGUGCUCGGUCUGUCCCCAGGGGAUGACAUAAGCUCUGGAUUCGUUGUCUUUUAUGGCUGUGGAGGGGGUGUUUUGAGCGUGAUCUACUGCAGUAUGGCGAUAACAAUGCCACUAAAAGGCUUAACGAGCAUCUUCGCAAAGGGCACGAAUCACGGGGGAGGGGGUUAAACAGGACGUGGCUUAUCUUGUCACGAAAAAUCUGCCCGAGGCUCUCUCGGUGCUGACUCGCAUUUAUCUUUGGUGAAGUGCUGAUUCUGAGAUCUGGCGAGAGAAAGAUAUGUCACAAUUUAUAGUGGUAUAAUAUGAAUUUUCAAGAUGUACAUCGAGUGUUUCAAUUUAUUGGAAACUGGAGGUUCAACAGAUAUUAAUUCGAAAUUGUUCUGUA